AUGAGUCCAUAUUGUCCUCUAAUAGAUAGGUAUAAUCAGUAUGGUAAUGAGUCCAUAUUGUCCUCUAUUAGAUAGGUAUAAUCAGUAUGGUAAUGAGUCCAUAUUGUCCUCUAUUAGAUAGGUAUAACCAGUAUGGGAAUGAGUCCAUAUUGUCCUCAUAAUUUCCACCGUAAUAGAUCUUCACAACUGCAUAGGGGGUAGGGGGCGAUUUGGGAUUUGACGUUAAUUCACAUUUUGUUUGCCCUCCACCUCAGGAGCCUGUAGAUGUUAGGGUGUGAAGGAAUCUGUCUGGGCGUUUCACUAUCAAUCUGAGCCAUGGAAUGUCUCGCUGUGCCUCUAGCAAAUGAGAAGAGCCAGAGCCAUCUACAGCCACACUGAUUGGCCACCUGCUGUGAUACACUUCCCCCUUAGAUCAGAUCCAGAGCUCCUGCUGGUUCCAGGCUGACACCCUCAGAUCCAGAGCUCCUGCUGGUUCCAGGCUGACACCCUCAGAUCCAGAGCUCCUGCUGGUUCCAGGCUGACACCCUCAGAUCCAGAGCUCCAGCUGGUUCCAGGCUGACACCCUCAGAUCCAGAGCUCCAGCUGGUUCCAGGCUGACACCCUCAGAUCCAGAGCUCCAGCUGGUUCCAGGCUGACACCCUCAGAUCCAGAGCUCCUGCUGGUUCCAGGCUGACACCCUCAGAUCCAGAGCUCCAGCUGGUUCCAGGCUGACACCCUCAGAUCCAGAGCUCCUGCUGGUUCCAGGCUGACACCCUCAGAUCCAGAGCUCCUGCUGGUUCCAGGCUGACACCCUCAGAUCCAGAGCUCCAGCUGGUUCCAGGCCGAAACCCACUGCUCAGUCCCAUGGCUUCAGUCACGACACUCCAGACCAGCCAAACUUAACCAAGCAGCUACAUUUGCAUUAUUUCAACGUCAUGUCCACCUCCUUAGCUACCACUCAGCUUCUGCUUUGAUACCUGUCGGUAGAUUUUACCCCUUUAAAGUCACCUUAUCAUGAGGCAGACGUACUAUAGUGGUGUACUCUGUCAGUUAGCCAGUGUUGCAGCAACACCAGCCUAGGUUACAGUCUGUUUAUGCCCUCUUACCGACUCCUUAUAGAAUUGUCAUGGCUUGGGAGUUGGAAAGAGCACAACCAGAUCUGUGAUCAGGCUAAUGACACACAGGGACAAAUCUAACUGCAAGUGAUGAUCUGUAAGGGUGUUGUCUCCUGUGCAAACCUUAUCCCAAGAUGCACAGCCAGGGGUGGGUGGAAAUUAUUACUCUGUCUGUGGCAUUUUGGUGGAGGAGCCAUUAAGGAAGUCCCAUUAAGGAAGUCCCAUUAAGGAAGUCCCAUUAAGGAAGUCCCAUUGAGGAAGUCCCAUUGAGGAAGUCCCAUUGAGGAAGUCCCAUUAAGGAAGUCCCAUUAAGGAAGUCCCAUUAAGGAAGUCCCAUUAAGGAAGUCCCAUUAAGGAAGUCCCAUUAAGGAAGUCCCAUUAAGGAAGUCCCAUUAAGGAAGUCCCAUUAAGGAAGUCCCAUUAAGGAAGUCCCAUUGGUCAUAGUGAGAUCGGCUACGUCAUGUUCUGGCUGUGGUGGGAUCCAGCUUUGUCUUCAAGAUACUGUUUUUAUUUAUUCCAUUGAUUAUGAUUCUAAGGCAAGUUAACCACUGUGAGGACUCUUCAGGGUUACUGAUGAGGUAACGAACCGAGCAAAACACAGACCACAAUGUAGGCGCGGCUUCAAACAGGAAGUGGGCAGAACCUCUGCCUUGUUGUGAAUGUAUACAUGACACUGCUCAACACUCACCAUGUGCUAUCUAUCUUUUCUAUUUCUUCAGAGGGAGGCACCAUUAGACUGGUUAUGCCACAGUCUCACACUACAACCAUUCUUAUUGCACUCAUCCUUCUUGAAUGAACUAUGAGAUGCAUCUUAUUGAAUGGACAUGUAUUUCUAUUUCUGCAUUUAGUUUGACCACUGAUGUGAAGGGACAGCGAGUGACUGACAUGACAUCUACAGAACAAGCAGAGAUGACCAGAUAUAACUGAGCAGUCAUUCACUUCACUGCCUAUUAUUUUUGUUCUGCAGUAGAGUACAGGGUUGGGCUCAGUUCCAUUUCAAUUCAGUCAAUUCUGGAAAGAAACUGAAAUUCCAAUUCCCCUCAUUGAAAAGCAUUGAGGAACGUUUGAAUUGAAGUUUGGAAUUGGAAUUUCAGUCCUAAAUUGUCUGAAUUGAAAUGGUACUGAGACCAACUCUGAAUAGAAGUACUACAUCACCACUGUAAUCUCCCAUUGUCAUUCUUCGGAAUGACAAUAUAAUAAUGAAAUUGUAUUCCUCUGGAAUUAUUGCUAGACAUAACUGUAAACCUUUGUAAGGAAUGAAGCUGACUUUUACACUCAAAUAAUAAAUGCAACAUAUGAUGAUCACAUC
This is a long non-coding RNA of Oncorhynchus masou masou (cherry salmon), 2403 nucleotides long. RefSeq lists it as uncharacterized. Lineage: Eukaryota; Metazoa; Chordata; Actinopteri; Salmoniformes; Salmonidae. The record is from RefSeq and is a predicted model, not a curated record. The transcript has 2 exons.